AUUGAACGCUGGCGGCAGGCCUAACACAUGCAAGUCGAACGAGUGGCGGACGGGUGAGUAAUGUCUGGGAAACUGCCCGAUGGAGGGGGAUAACUACUGGAAACGGUAGCUAAUACCGCAUACCAUCGGAUGUGCCCAGAUGGGAUUCGCUAGUAGGUGGGGUAACGGCUCACCUAGGCGACGAUCCCUAGCUGGUCUGAGGGGAUGACCGGCCAUAGUGGAGCGGAGACACGGUGCAGAGUCCUACGGGAGGAAGCAGUGGCGAAAAUUGACCAAUGGGCGCAAGCCUGAGGCAGCCAUGCCGCGUGUAUGAAGAAGGCCUUCGGGUUGUAAAGUACUUUCAGCGAGGAGGCGUUACUCGCAGAAGAAGCACCGGCUAACUCCGUGCCAGCAGCCGCGGUAAUUC
Molecule: ribosomal RNA, 406 nt
Filed under: uncultured bacterium
Lineage: Bacteria
Description: partial 16S ribosomal RNA
Rfam family: Bacterial small subunit ribosomal RNA
Source: RNAcentral